This 424-nucleotide ribosomal RNA is filed under the name uncultured prokaryote. Its description in RNAcentral is "bacterial SSU rRNA". It matches the Rfam family "Bacterial small subunit ribosomal RNA", at positions 355 to 796 of the family's 1533-position model. The record is from RNAcentral.
UGAGGAAUAUUGGACAAUGGGCGCAAGCCUGAUCCAGCCAUGCCGCGUGAGUGAAGAAGGCCCUAGGGUUGUAAAACUCUUUCAGCAGUGAAGAUAAUGACGGUAACUGCAGAAGAAGCCCCGGCUAAUUUCGUGCCAGCAGCCGCGGUAAUACGAAAGGGGCUAGCGUUGUUCGGAAUUACUGGGCGUAAAGCGCGCGUAGGCGGCCUAGCAAGUUGGGGGUGAAAUCCCGGAGCUCAACUCCGGAACUGCCUUCAAAACUGCUAAGCUCGAGUCCGGAAGAGGAGAGUGGAAUUCCUAGUGUAGAGGUGAAAUUCGUAGAUAUUAGGAAGAACACCAGUGGCGAAGGCGACUCUCUGGUCCGGUACUGACGCUGAGGCGCGAAAGCGUGGGGAGCAAACAGGAUUAGAUACCCCCGUAGUCC